GACGAACGCUGGCGGCGUGCUUAACACAUGCAAGUCGAACGAUGAAGCCGGAGCUUGCUCUGGUGAAUUAGUGGCGAACGGGUGAGUAACACGUGAGUAACCUGCCCUUGACUCUGGGAUAACUGCGGGAAACUGUAGCUAAUACCGGAUACGACCCUCGGAGGCAUCUCCUGGGGGUGGAAAGAAUUUCGGUCAAGGAUGGACUCGCGGCCUAUCAGCUAGUUGGUGAGGUAAAGGCUCACCAAGGCGACGACGGGUAGCCGGCCUGAGAGGGGGACCGGCCACACUGGGAAUGAGACACGGCCCAGACUCCUACAGGGGGCAGCAGUGGGGAAUAUUGCACAAUGGGCGCAAGCCUGAUGCAGCAACGCCGCGUGAGGGAUGACGGCCUUCGGGUUGUGAACCUCUUUUAGCAGGGAAGAAGCGAAAGUGACGGUACCUGCAGAAAAAGCACCGGCUAACUACGUGCCAGCCGCCGCGGUAA
This 484-nucleotide ribosomal RNA is filed under the name uncultured bacterium. RNAcentral describes it as "partial 16S ribosomal RNA". It matches the Rfam family "Bacterial small subunit ribosomal RNA", at positions 28 to 523 of the family's 1533-position model. The record is from RNAcentral.